RNAcentral lists this ribosomal RNA (253 nucleotides) under uncultured bacterium. Its description in RNAcentral is "partial 16S ribosomal RNA". It matches the Rfam family "Bacterial small subunit ribosomal RNA", at positions 524 to 776 of the family's 1533-position model. The record is from RNAcentral.
UACGGGGGGGGCAAGCGUUGUUCGGAAUUACUGGGCGUAAAGGGCUCGUAGGUGGCCAACUAAGUCAGACGUGAAAUCCCUCGGCUUAACCGGGGAACUGCAUCUGAUACUGGAUGGCUUGAGAUUGGGAGAGGGAUGCGGAAUUCCAGGUGUAGCGGUGAAAUGCGUAGAUAUCUGGAGGAAUACCGGUGGCGAAGGCGGCAUCCUGGACCGACAUUGACGCUGAACGACGAAAGCUAGGGGAGCAAACGGG